CUGCUAUAACAGGGGAUGAUGAUGUAGUGUGUUGGGACAGGUACUGCUAUAACAGGGAAUGAUGCCCCAGUGUGUUGGGACAGGUACUGCUACAACAGGGGAUGAUGCUGUAGUGUGUUGGGACAGGUACUGCUAUAACAGGGAUCGAUGAUGUAGUGUGUUGGGACAGGUACUGCUAUAACAGGGAUCGAUGCUCUAGUGUUUUGGGACAGGUACUGCUAUCACAGGGGAUGAUGCUGUAGUGUGUUGGGACAGGUACUGCUAUCACAGGGAUCGAUGCUGUAGUGUGUUGGGACAGGUACUGCUAUAACAGGGGAUGAUGAUGUAGUGUGUUGGGACAGGUACUGCUAUAACACAGGAGAUGAUGCUCUAGUGUGUUGGGACAGAUACUGAUAUAACAGGGGAUGAUGCUGUAGUGUGUUGGGACAGGUACUGCUAUACCAGGGAAUGAUGCUGUAGUGUGUUGGGACAGGUACUGCUAUACCAGGGAAUGACGCCCUUGUCCGCAGGCCUGGGCAACUCCAGUCCCCGGGGACCUGAUUGGUCCCAACAAACACAACUGAUUUAAACGAAUUACAUUCUAAACUGAAGAUCAGAUUCAG
Molecule: long non-coding RNA, 602 nt
Organism: Oncorhynchus tshawytscha (Chinook salmon)
Lineage: Eukaryota; Metazoa; Chordata; Actinopteri; Salmoniformes; Salmonidae
Source: Ensembl